This is a long non-coding RNA of Lontra canadensis (Northern American river otter), 200 nucleotides long. RefSeq lists it as uncharacterized. NCBI's taxonomy places the organism in Eukaryota, Metazoa, Chordata, Mammalia, Carnivora, Mustelidae. The transcript is spliced from 3 exons. The record is from RefSeq and is a predicted model, not a curated record.
ACCCUGAAGCUAAGGAAGCUGCUCCAAUAUUAAGAGAUCAGGGAGGUAAGAAAAAUCAGCAAAGGGACUGAAAAAGGGCAAAGGCAGGAAGACAAGACAACCAGGGAAAUGGGAGAAAGGUCAUCAGCUGAGAAUAAGGAUGGAGACAGAGUUGGAGAGUGUGGAAGUGUUCCCUGCCUCAAAAACCUAAAAGACUAAUG